UCCAGCAGCCAUAUCACUCUGCAACUCACAACUGGCAACCCACUGAAGCUAAGCAGGUGUGAGCCUGGUCAGUACCUGGAUGGGAGACCUCCUGGGAAAAACUAAGGUUGCUAGGGGAC
Molecule: ribosomal RNA, 119 nt
Filed under: Lepisosteus oculatus (spotted gar)
Lineage: Eukaryota; Metazoa; Chordata; Actinopteri; Semionotiformes; Lepisosteidae
Source: RNAcentral